CAGCCGCCGCGGGAAUACGGAGGGAGCUAGCGUUAUUCGGAAUUACUGGGCGCAAAGCGCACGUAGGCGGCUUUGUAAGUAAGAGGUGAAAGCCCGGAGCUCAACUCCGGAACUGCCUUUUAGACUGCAUCGCUUGAAUCCAGGAGAGGUGAGUGGAAUUCCGAGUGUAGAGGUGAAAUUCGUAGAUAUUCGGAAGAACACCAGUGGCGAAGGCGGCUCACUGGACUGGUAUUGACGCUGAGGUGCGAAAGCGUGGGGAGCAAACAGGAUUAGAUACCCGUGUAGUCCCUGUCUCUUAUAC
This 301-nucleotide ribosomal RNA is filed under the name uncultured bacterium. RNAcentral's name for it is "partial 16S ribosomal RNA". It matches the Rfam family "Bacterial small subunit ribosomal RNA", at positions 509 to 807 of the family's 1533-position model. The record is from RNAcentral.